Scleropages formosus (Asian bonytongue) is the source of this 1602-nucleotide long non-coding RNA. RefSeq lists it as uncharacterized. The transcript has 2 exons. NCBI's taxonomy places the organism in Eukaryota, Metazoa, Chordata, Actinopteri, Osteoglossiformes, Osteoglossidae. The record is from RefSeq and is a predicted model, not a curated record.
GCAGUUAAUAUGCCACACGGCACAAGUUACUUGAAGGCGGCUGGAAAAGGAGCUUGAGCCGAAGGCGCCACUGAAACAGUCUUUUCUGCAGCUCUUAUGCGCUGUCGCCGAUGUUUUAGGCGACUCAUCUUGAGCACCCGGAUCAUCGUUUUGCUUGCGCCGGUCAUUUCCCACAGGCCACCUGGUACAUUCGCAUCCCCGCCAUCGGCCCGCUGCCGGCGCGCUGCGGUCUCCCGCAGCAAGUCCCCCCGGCGGAUGUUGACGCCGGCACCCCUCCGAAACACGCAGCCCUGUGCUCGAGGAAAGGGGAACGACAGUUAGGCGUCUCGGCACCAUCCAACCGAAGGGACGCAAGAAGCAGCGGCAGGGACGUAAAUGGUCUGCGAGUCCAAGGGAGGCUGCAGGUGGCGGAAGUCCUGCAUGGAAACAGGUGGACGCCGGACACCCUGGCUGGGAGGAGGUCUGGUCUCAGGCUGAACCCCGGUGUCAGAAUUCUGAUGGGCGGCUGGUUCCGCCUUCAAAGGAUCGAAAGGGAUGGACCCCGAAGUAAACAGUAAAAAGUACCAGUUCUGUAAGGAUGUGGUUGUUGACGCAACGUGAGCUGCGGAAUGCGAGGGAAAAGCUCGUCCGCAGGACAGCACCGGGCUACGUUCCACAUUUGGGCUCAUUUGAAAAUCGGGACGGGAUCCUGCAGGACGAUCACGGAGCUGAAGUGUCAUGGAAGGGCCCCCCCUUUGGUUUCGGUUCCAAUCGGUAUCGAAAUAUAACUCCUCUUUCAUACAGUUGUACUUUUCAGUUUUUUAAUUCUUUCGUAUUGUGUGAAUUUGCAUGUCUUUUAAUGCUCAUUCACACUAUAUUACUGUGUAGUAUUGUAGUGCAGAAUGCUACUUUAUAUGCAUAUUUUAGUGGUUUGUGUUGAGUUUUAUCUUGGGUGCUUCAUUUCUUCACUUACUGGGAUUGAAGUAGCUUUGUGCACUAGUCAUUAACUUUAUUAAUGUGGAGUUAUCAUUUUUCAUAUUAAGUACUGAAAAAGGGGUUUUUGUAAAGUCUCAUUUUUAAUAGCUGCUUGUAUAAGUGCCCACUGCCCAAGCUGCAAUGGGGAGUCGCAGAAACCGUGUAUUCAGGUUUUUUUUUACGUGACCUUAGGAGGCGUUUAUCGUCAGCGGCUCCAGUGUUUUUACUGCGAAAUGUACUUGUUUGCUAAGUUCUGUGCACUUUGGAGAAAGAUGUCUGGUAAAUAAACAAAUUAAAUGCAACAGACUGAAAAUAGUCAGCCAAAUCCAACAACUGUGUGACAAACAUUUAUUGCAUUUAAAAAUAUUACAUUAUGUGCUUUUCACGGCGUAGUAUUCAAAAAGAUUUCAGAAAACAUGUUUCCCUUCUAUGCAUAUGAAUAACAUUUGCAAUUUAAAGGAAUUGAAAUCAGGAGAAUCAACUUUGAAUCCAUAUGGAUUUCAUUUUAACACAGUAAAACAGUCACUCUCGCCAUUUCACUCCUGUAGCAGGACUUCACCUUCUCAAGAUCUUAGAAACUUGUGCCACCUGGUAACCAGUUUUAAAAAAAAAAAAAAAAAAAAAAAAAAAAAAAAAAAAAAAAAAAAA